UCCACGCCCUAAACGAUGUUCACUAGUCGUCGGAAUGCUAGUCAUUUCGGUGAUGCACUUGACAGAUUAAGUGAACCGCCUGGGGAGUACGGUCGCAAGAUUAAAACUCAAAGGAAUAGACGGGGACCCGCACAAGUGGUGGAGCAUGUGGUUUAAUUCGAAGAUACGCGAAGAACCUUACCUAGCCUUGACAUUGAUUGAACGGACCAGAGAUGGACCGGUGCCCUUCGGGG
RNAcentral lists this ribosomal RNA (233 nucleotides) under uncultured bacterium. RNAcentral's name for it is "partial 16S ribosomal RNA". It matches the Rfam family "Bacterial small subunit ribosomal RNA", at positions 794 to 1025 of the family's 1533-position model. The record is from RNAcentral.